UAAACGUUACAAAUGAUGUCAUCACAUUAGUGGUGCGGGUGGUGUGCAUUUCCGUGUGGAUCAUGCAGGUCAUCAAACAUUACUGAUACAGGUAGAAUUAUUGCACCUCCAUGAUUUAGGUAAAUUUUUAUGCAGGAGUUAUCUGGUUUGUGAAUUGGUAAUUGGACAGGCGUUAAACAAAAAACUGUAGAAGUUAAAGUUAUCUAAGUGAAAAGUCGUCCACAACGAUUCUGAUAAAUUCUUAUAAUUGUCGCUCAAGUCGUACUCUCGUACUGACAAUUUAGGGAUUUUAAUUAUCAACUGAGCAGGUGAUCGCUAGACCGGUGAUCGGCAAAUUGCAAAUAAUAGGUACACUUUGUAUACACCUAUAUACUGUGUUUUCACCGUCUGAAUUGAAAUUCAUAUAAAAAAAGAAAAAUUAAUUAAAGUGAUUGUCGAACAAGGAAGUGUUCGCUGCCGUAAAAGAAGAACAUUGAAUGUUGUGUGGUUUGACAAAACCUAGGGUUGUUAUUUCAACUGGCACAAGUUGAAAGUGGGCAAAAACUUUCAGUUGCUUCUCAAACAUCGGUAAUUGUUGUGUUUACAGAAUUGAUUGUGUGUCUGGCGGCGUUGUUUAUUAAGAAAAAUGAAUUGUCAAGAAGUAGUUGCUGCUGAACUGAACAAUACAUCAUUAGCACAAUUAAUUCCCAAGUCAAAAAUUUUGGUAGUAGGAGCUGGAGGAAUUGGAUGUGAAAUAUUAAAAAAUUUGUGUCUUUCUGGUUUUCAGGAUGUGGAGAUUAUUGACUUGGACACUAUUGACGUAAGUAAUUUGAAUCGUCAGUUCUUAUUUAGAAAAGAGCAUGUUGGAAAACCCAAAGCUGUUGUUGCAAGAGAAAGUGUAAUGACAUUUACUUCCAACAUGAAAAUUAAAGCAUAUCAUGACAGCAUUUUUAAUCAAGAAUAUGGAAUUAAUUUUUUUAAAAGGUUCAAGUUAGUAUUAAAUGCUUUAGACAAUCGAUCAGCUCGCAAUCAUGUGAAUCGUAUGUGUUUAGCAGCUGAUGUUCCUCUUGUUGAAUCAGGAACAGCGGGUUACUCUGGACAGGUAGAAUUAAUAAAAAAAGGACUGACACAGUGUUAUGAAUGUCAACCAAAACCUCAACAGCGAAGUUUUCCAGGAUGUACUAUACGAAAUACACCAUCAGAACCAGUCCAUUGUAUUGUUUGGGCAAAGCAUCUGUUUAAUCAAUUGUUUGGUGAAGAUGAUCCUGAUCAGGAUGUUUCACCAGAUACAGAAGAUCCAGAAUUAAAGAAAGAUGGGGAGUUUUCUACUACGCAUACUGGCGAUGUUCAGAGAAAAUCUACCCGCCAGUGGGCCGAGGAGAUCAACUAUGAGCCUGAAAAACUGUUUAAUAAAUUUUUUAAAGACGACAUUAAUUAUUUACUUUCAAUGGAAAAUCUUUGGAAAACACGAAAAGCUCCAACCCCUUUAAGUUGGGAGGAAUCGCAUCUUUGUGUCAGUAACAUUUCAGAAGAGGAUAUUUCAACUUCAAUAGAUAUGAGAAUCUUGUCUUUACAAAAAUGUGCAGAGAUUUUCUCAGACACGGUCACAACAUUAAAAAAACAACUUGUGAAUCGUAAAUUUUUGGUUUGGGAUAAAGAUGACAAACCUGCAAUGGAUUUUGUUGCAGCCUGCGCAAAUAUUAGAGCCCAUAUAUUUUCCAUUCCACAAAAAUCAAGAUUUGCUGUGAAGUCAAUUGCCGGCAACAUCAUACCAGCAAUUGCCACUGCGAAUGCUCUAAUUGCUGGUCUUGUUGUUCUAUAUGCAUUCCGGGUCUUAAAAAAUGAAUUGAAUAAAUGUCCAACCAUAUACUUACGUCAAAAGUCUGUUUACUCAAAAGUUCUUCUUGCGGCAGAUAACAGUUUACAAUCUCCGAACCCCAAUUGUUACGUUUGUUCAUCAAAACCAGUGGUUGAUGUUUUUGUAAAUGUUUUCAAAAUGACUCUUAAUGAAUUUGAAAAUGAAAUUUUGAAGAAUACCCUUAACAUGGUAGCUCCAGAUGCAAUAUUAGAUGGAAAAGGAGUAGUGGUUAUUUCAUCCGAAGAAGGAGAAACACAGAUUAACAAUAACAAGAAACUAAAUGAGGUUGGCAUUAUAGAUGGUAGUAUUUUGAAGGUUGAUGAUUUUUUGCAAAAUUACGAACUAACAGUAAAUAUUAAUCAUUAUGAGGCUAAAGAAAAGGAUGAUCCACCUUUUAAAUUUGUGGCAAAUCCAUCUGAUUUAAAGACGAAACAAGAAAACGGUGUGAACAAUGGAGUGAAUGUUUCAACUGAUUCUUAUACAACACAACAAAGUAGUGAUGAUGAUGAUGUUGUAACUUGUACUACCGAAGAUUACGAUUAUGAAGCUUCCUCAAGCAAAAGGCGUAAAAUGAACCCACCAGAAGAUGAAGAUGAUCUUAUUAUUGUUGAAGAUGUAAUUAAUUAAUUUUUUUAUUUUUGUAACCAGUGCAUUUGAUUUUUCAAUCAUUCGUUUUUGGCAACUAUUCCAGUUCUUUUUCAACUUUUUCCACUUCCACGAGACAGAUUUUUAUGUUUGUAAUCUAGAUAAGUAACACCAGAAACGAAUUAUUAAAUUACGAAGUGAAAUUCAUUUCUAACAACUGGAUAAUUCUUUGAUUUUAAAUUCAAUUUCCACUGUACAUGAGUGUAAUUGAUACAUUUUUGUGGUCUUUUUCAAUAUUAAAAAUUACAUGAUGUUCAGAAUUUUUUAAAAUAAAUACUAUCUAAAAUGUGCCAAAUAAUACACUAAUUUAUACCAGGGGCGGCUGGUCAGGGGCGGCAGGGUCGGCCACGCCGUACCAGUCAUUUUAAAAUACUUAGUAAGCGUUGAAAUUAGAAAAUAAAAAAAGAAAUAAAGUUUGAAUGUACAAAAUAAAGCAUUUGUUGCUAA
Molecule: RNA transcript, 2929 nt
Organism: Zophobas morio
Lineage: Eukaryota; Metazoa; Arthropoda; Insecta; Coleoptera; Tenebrionidae
Gene: Uba2
Gene name: SUMO-activating enzyme subunit 2
Exons: 12
Source: RefSeq, a predicted model, not a curated record